Molecule: ribosomal RNA, 254 nt
Filed under: uncultured bacterium
Lineage: Bacteria
Description: partial 16S ribosomal RNA
Rfam family: Bacterial small subunit ribosomal RNA
Source: RNAcentral
UACGUAGGGUGCAAGCGUUGUCCGGAAUUAUUGGGCGUAAAGAGCUCGUAGGCGGUCUGUCGCGUCGAUCGUGAAAACUUGGGGCUUAACCCUGAGCUUGCGGUCGAUACGGGCAUGACUGGAGUUCGGCAGGGGAGACUGGAAUUCCUGGUGUAGCGGUGAAAUGCGCAGAUAUCGGGAGGAACACCAGUGGCGAAGGCGGCGAUCUGGGAAGAUACUGACGCUGAGGUGCGAAAGCGUGGGGAGCAAACAGG